This 253-nucleotide ribosomal RNA is filed under the name uncultured bacterium. RNAcentral's name for it is "partial 16S ribosomal RNA". It matches the Rfam family "Bacterial small subunit ribosomal RNA", at positions 524 to 776 of the family's 1533-position model. The record is from RNAcentral.
UACGUAGGUGGCAAGCGUUACUCGGAAUCACUAGGCGUAAAGCGCAGGUAGGAGGUUGGAUAAGUCUCUUGUGAAAGCUCCCGGCUUAACUGGGAGAGGUCAAGGGAAACUGUUCGGCUAGAGUGUGGUAGAGGAAGAUGGAAUUCCCGGUGUAGCGGUGAAAUGCGCAGAUAUCAGGAAGAACACCGAUGGCGAAGGCAGCUCUCUGGGACGGUACUGACGCUGAGACGCGAAAGCGUGGGGAGCGAACAGG